UAUAUAUAUAUAUAUAUAUAUAUAUAUAUAUAUAUAUAUAUAUAUAUAUAUAUAUAUAUAUAUAUAUACACACACACACACACUAUGAGUUCGGCUACUAUAAUACUCUUAUAAGUAUAGAGCAUUUUGUACUCAUAAGUAUUUUGCCAUUAGAUCUACCCUUUAAUCAUUUUCAUCCGUUAGAUAAUACUAUUCAACUAAUCACCCACUCAACCCUAAGGGGCUCACUAUCAAUCUAAUCGUAACCACUCUCAUCCUAAACUUACAUUUUUUCAUCCGAAGGAUAAAAACUUAUGAGUACAAGGAGCUAUAUACUCAUAUGAGUAUAGUAGUCCCAGUCUAUAUACUAUCUGUAAAUAAUAUUUCUAGCCCAACUCACUAAAAGUUAUAGUAAAAAAAUUGUGUAAAAUUGGAAUAAAAGUAAUCCUUUGAGCACUCAACUUAGAAGAUCUCCUCAAUGGCUUCUUGGGUUGACAAAGUAAAAAAUUAUAAAGUUUCAAGGAAAAGUAAAAAAAGUCAUGAAGUGAUAAAAAUGUUUUACGAUUAUUAGAACCCAUGGCAGAAUCGUAAAUUGGGAAUGGGUCACAGCCUCGUGCCCGGAGUGUGUGACACGGUUGUUGUUUGGGUUGACGAAUUAAGAUCUACGUAGAACCUUUAUUUAUUUAUUUAUUUAUUUAUUAAAGCUUUUGCUUCAGGGACACGUGUCGAAAUCUGGGGUGUGGUUGUCCAUGAAAGUUGAUCUCUUCAGGAAGAAUAAUCUGCUUGGCUUUUCUCCUACCAGUCUCCCAGGAAUUAAGAAAGAGGGAGAUCGAUGCCCCUUCCAGAAACAAAAAAAAAUAAAAUCUGAUUUUAUUAUCUCUUAAAGUAAAUAUACAUCGACCAACUUAUUUUACUACUGGUGAUAGAGUGCUAGACUAGCUUGUUGUUUUUUUUUUUUUUUUUUUGGGUAAGGCAAAAUGUCUAGAAAACUCUCUCAACUGUAGGACAUUCCAAAAUACAUCUUCUAACUAAUUUUACUUUAUUGGUACAUGCUAAGAUUUUGAUUUUUCAGUUUACAUUGUUUUCGCCAGUGAAAUAUGAAAUUUUGUUAUUAAUUCAACCGCCUUCGAAUUCCUUUUUAGACGAUGAAAAUAUGAAUUUUGUUAAUUGUUGACGAACUGCAAUUACCAGAGGUGUUAAUUUAAACAAAACUUUAAUUUAGUCUAUAUAUAUAUAUAUAGGAAACUAAUUCAAAUUAAAACCAAUCAAAGGUUGAGUAGUAGUUUAAAGGGAAAAAAAAGAAAGAAAGAAAGAAAAAGUUUUGAGGGUUUAGUGCAAAAUGGCCUACGUUUGAGUGGUGUCUCCGUGCAUUUUAACCUUUCCUUUGUAUAUAAUAAAAGGUGUACGUAGCUUAAUUU
RNAcentral lists this long non-coding RNA (1397 nucleotides) under Ananas comosus (pineapple). Its description in RNAcentral is "long non-coding RNA (ACOM_LNC018946)". Lineage: Eukaryota; Viridiplantae; Streptophyta; Magnoliopsida; Poales; Bromeliaceae. The record is from RNAcentral.